CCAUGAAGAAACUGAGCAAGAUGGCAGGC
Molecule: non-coding RNA, 29 nt
Filed under: Homo sapiens (human)
Lineage: Eukaryota; Metazoa; Chordata; Mammalia; Primates; Hominidae
Source: RNAcentral